GAUAUUUAAAAACAAGAGCCGAAAAUUACCGAGGACUUUCUCCGCUUAAUAACCCGGGACUGAAGAGGUGAGGCGCUGGAGUGUUUCUCCUCCUGGUGUGUGAAUGGGUGGGGGGGUCUUUCGUGGUGAAGAAGAAUCUACGAUUGAAGUCAACACAGAACGCUCCAGUUUAAUGGCUGGCAGGUAGAGG
Long non-coding RNA from Seriola dumerili (greater amberjack), 190 nucleotides. RefSeq lists it as uncharacterized. The record is from RefSeq and is a predicted model, not a curated record. Lineage: Eukaryota; Metazoa; Chordata; Actinopteri; Carangiformes; Carangidae. The transcript is spliced from 3 exons.